UGGGGAAUUUUGGACAAUGGGCGAAAGCCUGAUCCAGCAAUGCCGCGUGUGUGAAGAAGGCCUUCGGGUUGUAAAGCACUUUUGUCCGGAAAGAAAUCCUUGGCUCUAAUACAGUCGGGGGAUGACGGUACCGGAAGAAUAAGCACCGGCUAACUACGUGCCAGCAGCCGCGGUAAUACGUAGGGUGCAAGCGUUAAUCGGAAUUACUGGGCGUAAAGCGUGCGCAGGCGGUUUGCUAAGGCCGAUGUGAAAUCCCCGGGCUCAACCUGGGAACUGCAUUGGUGACUGGCAGGCUAGAGUAUGGCAGAGGGGGGUAGAAUUCCACGUGUAGCAGUGAAAUGCGUAGAGAUGUGGAGGAAUACCGAUGGCGAAGGCAGCCCCCUGGGCCAAUACUGACGCUCAUGCACGAAAGCGUGGGGAGCAAAACAGGAUUAGAUACCCUGGUAGUCCACGCCCUAAACGAUGUCAACUAGUUGUUGGGGAUUCAUUUCCUUAGUAACGUAGCUAACGCGUGAAGUUGACCGCCUGGGGAGUACGGUCGCAAGAUUAAAACUUAAAUGAAUUGACGGGGUCAUAGCUGUUUCCU
This 586-nucleotide ribosomal RNA is filed under the name uncultured bacterium. RNAcentral's name for it is "partial 16S ribosomal RNA". It matches the Rfam family "Bacterial small subunit ribosomal RNA", at positions 355 to 1375 of the family's 1533-position model. The record is from RNAcentral.